AAAAUUCCUUUUCUGCCCCUUAAAACUUUGUAGUACUCCUGGCCGGAUACAAUGGCUCAUACCUGUAAUCCAGGACUUUGGGAGGCCGAGGGGGCAGGAUUGCUUGAGUCCAGGAGUUGGAGACCAGCCUGGACAACAUGGUGAGAUUCGGUCUCCACAAAAAAUUUUAAAAAUUAGCUGGGCGUGGUGGCAUGCAGAGGUGCAUGCCAGAGGUGGUCCCAGCUACUCGGGAGCCUGAGGUGGGAGGAUCGCUGAAGCCCAGGAAGCUGAGGCUGAGGUGCAUACCACCACACUCCAGCCUGGGCGACAGCAAGACCCUGUCUAACACACACACACACACCCAACACACACACACGGACACCCUAACACACACAUACACACACCCUAACACACACCCUGUGUAAAACAACACUCUCAACCCUGUCUAAAAAACACACACUCCCUAAAACACACACACCCAUCUCACACACAUGCACUCACCCUAACACACACACCCUAACACACAUACACACCGUCUAAAACACACACACCCCCGUCUCACACACAUGCACUCAAACACACAUACACACCCUAACACACAUACACAUCGUCUAAAAUACACACCCCCGUCUCACACACAUGCACUCAAACACACACACCCUAACACACACACCCCAUCACACGCACACACCCUAACACACAUACACCCUGAUUCACACACAUACAACCUGUCUAAAACACACACCCUAACACACACUCUAACACACACAUACACACAGACACUUUGUGGUAUUCCUGAGACAUUCAACCACUGCAGAGCAUUAUUUAAAUGCCAUAAAAAUGCAUCUUUAUGGAUCAUUUCUAUAUUAAAAUAUAAUAAUCUUGGCGGCCACAAUAGUUAAAAUAAACAGAUUCAAGAUCAAAUAAAGUUAGAGCAGAAC
Molecule: long non-coding RNA, 920 nt
Filed under: Homo sapiens (human)
Lineage: Eukaryota; Metazoa; Chordata; Mammalia; Primates; Hominidae
Description: HSALNT0049621
Source: RNAcentral